CACAUCAGGAUGGUGGAGCUGUCUGAUUUGCAUAUGGAAAUAACCGACGGAAAAGGCGGAAAAGGAGCUACUGUUAUCUUGUUCUGCAUGGGCUACUUCCGUUGAUUAGAUAAACUGGACAAGCUGGACAGAUCGGCAUUGGAGAAAAUUUCCAUAUCAGGUUUUCUGGAAACGGUUGGAAGCUAGUCUUAGUGUCGUUGAUCAGGAACCGGUGUUGUUGAGCAGAGUGGAGAAACAAAAUUACUUUACCCGGAUCAUACUCAUUGUUCGGGAUGGUUAAUCCGACAAUCGAAACAGGUUAAAAAAUCAACCCAGAAGACCUCAUCGAAGAGGUCGCCUUCUUUAGAACCUCGGCGGAUGUGCAUCGGAUACUUCUGCCGAAACGGGAAAUUCCUUGCAAGCUUGAGAGAACGAAUGUUUUAUUUUGGUCACCUCAUCGAAACUGUUCCAACAGAUGCUUUGUACCCUCCUGACAUCCAGGUUGGUCAUAUAGGCACGAAUCAGUACCGGAUGUUGAGACGGAUGCCCUCUUAGAAGAAUUAUUGAGGUAUUGAAUUUGUUGCCAACUGCAAUGAAAAACUACAUUUCGGAACCAGGAUUGUAUUGGAUUGACAAUAAAUAUUUUAU
This is a long non-coding RNA of Uranotaenia lowii, 627 nucleotides long. RefSeq lists it as uncharacterized. The transcript has 4 exons. NCBI's taxonomy places the organism in Eukaryota, Metazoa, Arthropoda, Insecta, Diptera, Culicidae. The record is from RefSeq and is a predicted model, not a curated record.